AAAGUUUUGGUUGACGAGCAUAGCGCAAACAGAACUGUGAUAGCUAGCGCCCUCUUGUUUUGUUCAGGGCGGCCCUGACCCGGACGGCCUAGUUCCGCAAACCAAGCAAGCCGCCGACAAAAUCACCAACCAUAGCGUCCGCCCCGUGCCAAGUCGUCCGCUCAGCCACGACAGAGUGCCGCGAGGAAAUGGCCACUCCCCAACCCGCGGCCAGCGCCGACGGCUGCGCCACUGCUCCCGGCGCCGUGGACAGCCGCAGCGGCUACUGCAAGGAGACCAAGACGUUCUGCAGCCUGCGUCCGCCGGUGCCGCUGCCACCGGCAGGCAGCCCGCUCUCGUUCACAGCGUUCGCGUUCUCGCUCCUGCCGUCACCGCUCCCGGCACACCCAGCCCUCCUCGACGCCGCCACCGGUGAGACCCUGUCGUUUCCAGCGUUCCGGUCCCAGGUGCGCGCGCUAGCGGGGGGCCUGCGCUCACGGGUCGGGGUCCGCCGCGGCGACGUCGCGUUCGUGCUCGCGCCGGCGCGGCUGGACGUCCCGGUGCUCUACUUCGCCCUGCUUUCGUUCGGCGCCGUCGUGUCGCCGGCCAACCCGGCGCUCACCGCCGCCGAGGUCGCUCGCAUCGUCGCACUGUCGGACGCGUCUGUCGCCUUCGCCGUGUCGUCGACCGCUGCCAAGCUGCCGGCUGGCCUUCCUACCGUCCUCCUCGAUUCCGAUCACUUCCGCUCCUUCCUGCACAAUGAAGACCGCGGGGAGGUGCUGGCGCUGGAAACGGCGGUGGUGCACCAGUCGGAGACGGCCGCGAUCCAGUACUCGUCAGGCACAACUGGGCGAGUGAAGGCGGCGGCGCUGUCGCACCGGAACUUCACCGCGAUGGCGGCGGGGUCUCACGCUCUGGCCCAUAAGCCGAGGCAUGGUCGUGACAGGAUGCUCCUAGGUGCGCCAAUGUUCCACUCCCUUGGGUUCUACUAUGCGCUGAAGGGCAUCGCGCUGGGGCAGACGACGGUGCUGGUCACCGACACGGUGGCGCGGCGUGGCGUGAAAGGGGUGGUGGAGGCAGCGGAGAGGUGGGCGGUCAGCGAGAUGACGGCGUCGCCGCCGGUGGUGAUAGGGAUGGCGAAGGAGCGGUGCGACCUGGAGGCUCUGGAGCGGGUGGUAUGCGGUGGCGCGCCGCUGCCGACGACGGCAGCGGAGAUGUUCCGGCGACGAUUCCCCAACGUGGAUCUUUGCAUGGGCUACGGUUCAACUGAGGCCGGUGGCAUCUCACUGAUGAUCGACCGGGAAGAGUGUACCCGCAUCGGCUCCGCCGGCCGUGUUUCGGAGAACGUAGAGGUGAAGAUUGUGGAUCACAUAACUGGUAAGCCCCUGUCCGUCGGGCAGAGAGGGGAGCUAUUUGUGAGAGGGCCAACCGUCAUGACUGCUCAACGCUUGCAGGAUAUGUUGGCGACGACGAAGCGAACGCUAGCACUUUCGAUUCUGAAGGCUGGCUUAAGACUGGGGACCUUUGCUACGUCGAUCAGGACGGGUUCCUGUUCGUGGUGGAUAGGCUGAAAGAGCUCAUCAAGUACAAGGGCUACCAGGUUCCACCUGCCGAGCUGGAGCUUGUCCUGCAAACAUUGCCAGAAGUUGUCGAAGCUGCAGUCAUGCCGUAUCCUCAUGAGGAGGCAGGGCAGAUACCGAUAGCGCUUGUUGUGAGGAAACCUGGAAGCAAGGUCACCGAGGCUCAAGUCGUGGACCAUGUCGCGAAGCGGGUAGCUUCGUAUAAGAAGAUCCGCAAGGUGCUGUUUGUCGACUCCAUACCCAAAUCGCCAGCUGGGAAGAUACUGAGAAGGCAGUUGACGAAAUAUGUGCAGUUCGGUGCUGUCUCUAGGUUGUGAAACUUUUUACUUGUGUGUGUGUAUGUGUGCAUAAAAGAGAGAGAUGCGGCACACUUUGUGUAAAGAUAAAAUAGUGCGAUUAAAAUACGUCGCAUGGCGAAAAAUUCUAUCUACAGACAAGGUAGGACAGGAUCAAGGGCAUGUCCAGCGGUACAUGCCAGAUGUGAUACAUAAAUUUUACGGUAAUGCUUCGCAGCGGGACAAUCGACUGGGACUGCCGAUCUAGAGCACUAUCAUGUCACCACCGUCUCGAUCGAGCUCGAUAGCCUUCAUUUCCACCACCGCAAGCCGUGAUGAGUACAUCAGUUUUGUUUGCUCCUCUUCUGAUUGUUAGUGCAACUACCGUAACCAUCCCAACUGGUACUUUUUUGAGUUGUAGCUCGUGAGGUGUUGCAAUACUUUGUUUUUUAUGUUGCAAUAAGUGUGAAUUGGGAAAUUGUUGAACAUGGUCUUGUUACUCAGGUCAUGGUUGGUGUUGAGCCUU
Molecule: RNA transcript, 2360 nt
Organism: Setaria italica (foxtail millet)
Lineage: Eukaryota; Viridiplantae; Streptophyta; Magnoliopsida; Poales; Poaceae
Gene name: 4-coumarate--CoA ligase-like 7
Exons: 5
Source: RefSeq, a predicted model, not a curated record